GUCCCGUGUAACGUCUAUCUCUCUCCCUCUCUCCUUCAUUUGCAGCGUGGAUGGUCUCUCGCGUCUGAAUCGUGCUGACGCUGUAUGGAAAGACGAUAAACCAUGGCUUAUUGUAUCGCAGAGUAUAGACCGCAGCAUCAAAUAAUGACGAUGUCAGGUGAGAUGUCUAAUUCCACACAGGCUGUAGCCGCCUAAACACGCCAUUGGCAGCCACCACCACGCUGGAGGAUCCAGGAACGCCAGCCUCCUGGAAGGGCCCGCCGCCCGGCUCGGAGGCAUCGCCCUUUACACCCAAUUCCGUCGGCCAGGGCGGAGGUCCCGGUGC
Molecule: long non-coding RNA, 325 nt
Organism: Odontomachus brunneus
Lineage: Eukaryota; Metazoa; Arthropoda; Insecta; Hymenoptera; Formicidae
Exons: 3
Source: RefSeq, a predicted model, not a curated record